Molecule: non-coding RNA, 69 nt
Organism: Rattus norvegicus (Norway rat)
Lineage: Eukaryota; Metazoa; Chordata; Mammalia; Rodentia; Muridae
Source: Rfam
GGGGAUUUGGCUCACUGGUAGAGCGCUUGCCUAGCAAGCACAAAGUCCUGGGUUCGGUCCCCAGCUCCG